Molecule: ribosomal RNA, 2255 nt
Filed under: Triticum aestivum (bread wheat)
Lineage: Eukaryota; Viridiplantae; Streptophyta; Magnoliopsida; Poales; Poaceae
Description: partial small subunit ribosomal RNA
Source: RNAcentral
AAACCAACCACCAACACCAAGUCUUCUCAUCCAAGAAUUUCACCAAGACAAAUUUUUCAUGAUCCGACAGAUCGAAUACCAAUAGAAGAUUAUGCCCCUAAAAUUCGAAGUGAAGUUAGAAGAGCUUAUUUGUUGAAAGGAAGAAACAAAGCUGAAGGACAUAAUUUUGAAAUCACAUUGUAUGGUACAAUCAGGAGAUCUUUUCAACCACACCGGCUAGAGAGGUUUGAUUGGUUGGAAUAUAGUUUGAAGGAGGUUGCCUUUUGCUUCCACUGUUUUCUUUUUAAGAAACCAUCACAGGAUGCUACAUUUGGAAAUGAUGUAUUUACAUUACAUGGUUAUCAUCAUUGGAAAACAACUUUGGCAACUUUUCAUAAACAUAUUGGUGGGCCAUCUAUUUACCAAAACAAUCCUAUAGGCUUGUGUGAUGAUUUCAACAAUCAAAGGCCUAAUGUGGCAACUAGAUUCCGUGUUUACAAUAAAGAGUCCGAGAUAGGCUACAAAACCCGUUUGACUGCAUCAUUGGAUUAUGCAAGGUAUCUCACGGCACAAGGGGAAGCUUUUCGUGGACACGAUGAAUCCUCCAAUUCAACGAACAAAGGGGAUCUUAGGGAGCUCUUUGACUGGUACAAGUGUAAGAGGAAAGAUGUGGAGGAGGCAUUUGAUAAGGGGCAAGGUAAUGCAUUUAUGAUAUGUGGAGAUACCAAAAGGACCUUGGCAUGUUGCGCAAUGGAGGUAACCAAAGUCAUCAAGAGUGAGCUUGGACAUAAGAAAUUUUUAGUUCUAGUCGACGAGGCUAGAGAUUGCUCAAUAAAGUAGCAAAUGGCAGUGAUUUUGAGUUUUUGGAUGAUCAUGGGGUGCUUUAGGAGAGAUUUCUUGCAAUUAAGCACAUCUCCGAUUUUAUAACUAUUGGAGUUAAAGAUGCCUUGGUUGAUGUGUUAGUUUACCAUGGCUUGCCUAUUUCUAGACUACGUGGGGCGGGUUAUGAUGGAGCUUCAAAUAUGAGAGGUGAAUUCAAGGGUUUGCAAAAGUUGAUCCAAGAUGAGAGUCCAUAUGCUUUCUAUGUUCACUGCUUUGCCCAUCAAUUGCAGUUGGUAGUUGUCACAGUUGCUUGAUGUUGUCUAGUUAUUGCUGAUUUCUUUAGUUAUCUUCCCUUGAUAGUGACUCAGGUGGGUUCAUCUUGCAAGAGAAAAGAUGCAUUACUUGCAAAGCUUCAUGAUGACUUGAUGAAAUUGAUGGAGCAUGGUAAGAUCUCAGCUGGAACUAGGUUACGUUAAGAAACUAACCUAUCUAGCCUAGGAGCUACUCGUUGCGGCUCACACCUUAGAACCUUGCUUCGUAUUUACAAAAUGUGGAAUGCAGUUGUGGAUCUAGCAAUCGUGUUUGACGAUGCACGAGAACACACUUGUCAAGAUGGAGCUUCAGGUUUGAUCAUAAAGAUGGAAUGUUUCCAAUUUGUGUUUAUCAUGCUAUUCUUAAUAAACUUUUUGCAAACCACAAAUAUGCUAUCACAAGCUUUGGAAAGUAAGAAUCAAGAUGUUGUUGAAGCCAUGCGUUUGAUCUUGGAUGUGAAAGAAACUUUGCAAGAUAUGAGGGACACUAGAUAUGAGUCAUUAUGCAACCAAGCCAAAAUCUUUUGUGAGGAACAUGGCAUUUAUGUGCCAAGUAUGGAUGAUCUUGUUGGAGCUAUGGGUCAAUCUGUUCACACAAAAAUAAGGUGACUCAGACAACAUUAUCUCAAAGUUAGCAUAUUCUACGUUGUUAUUUAUGCAACUAUUACCGAGAUGAACCAUCGGUUCAAUGAAGUUAACCCCGGGUUAGUGGAUUGCAUGUCUUGUCUUAAUCCAGCCAACAACUUUGCAAAGUUUAAUGUUGACAAACUUAUUCGACUUGCUAAAAUUUAUGCGGAUGAUUUUACAGAAACUGGCCGCUUGUUGCUAAGAUUUGACCUUCCAAGAUUCCUUAGAAAUACGAGGAGAAGUGAGAAAUUUAAUGGAUGUUCAUAUGUUUCCACCCUUGCUCCUUUGAUGGUUUAAUCAACAAAACAUGCAACUUUCCUAUUGCGAAUAUUUUCAGCAAUGAAGAUCAUCAAAACAGAUUUGUGCAAUAAGAUCUCAAAUGAUUGUCUCAAUGACUUAAUGGUAUGCUACUGUGACAAAAGGAUAUUCAAAAGUAUUCAUGAUGAUCAGAUCAUGAUACAAUUCCAGAAAAAUAGCGAACGGAGAGCUCACUUGCCUCGUGAGUAUAAUGUGAUU